CUGCAGUUCGAAAGUGUCGUUUGUUCGUUGUCAUGCAGUUCUUUUGCGGGGUGGCUAAUGGUAGGCCACUCGAGUCAAUUGUUAACACUUCAUGCCUUGAUGCUGUUUAUGUGUUAUAUAUUGCCAUAUCAUAAACGAAAUGUCACUUCUGUUCCACUGGCCGAUAUCAUUCCCCAUCUGUAAGCAUAAAAAAGAUCGAUGGGCAUUAAAAAAAAAAACUUUUGUUGGCAUCCAGCUAGCAUUAACAGCUAACUAACAGACAGAUCGGUUGGUUUGUUGCGCACUUAAAUUAACGCAGUGGCCAGUUACUGAAAAAUAAUCAAAUACAAGUAAAAUUAAAACACAGUUUAACUACAUUAUUUAGCCACACCGAGCUGAUUUUUACAGAGCAAACACACGAGGCUGCCAUCCGCAGCGCCAUCUUGAGCAACAACCUAGCCCCGCGAGCUUAGCUACCACAAUGUACUAGCUAGUGCAGCCGCCUACAAGAAGUCGUUAUCUUCCAGUAAUGUUAGGUCGUUUCAAGGAAACUACAUGCCAGUGGAAAAGGAGUGACAUGCUGUUACUAUCCUAUAUGGAAUAAUGCAAGUAGUUCACAAAAAAAUGGGGUCAGGACAGUGCAGUAGUAGGUGUGCCAGUAUCACUUUCUUCCCGGAAGUAGACCUUUUGUCUUGAAGUAAACUGCUGUCAAGUGUAAGCAAUAAAGGAGAGACAGACGGCGAUGGCAGACGGUUUACAGUCAGUUCAUUGGUGAUCCAGCUGGACUUGGUGUUAUGGUGAUGCUCCCAUCUGAUAUGGAGACAUGGACUGUCCUCUCCCUGGGACAAAAUCUAAUGCGGUGGAAUUACUAUUUUCUUACAUGGGACACUAUUCUGAUCACAUAUGCAACUACCCGCAUAACCAAACAAAAUAUGUGAAACUUGAUGAGAGACCGUACACAAGUGUUACACCGGGCAUAAACCAGUUCUGCCUCAUUCUGUUUAGGUUUUAAUUUGUGCCUCGUGUCUGUCACUCAGUAUUUUUCCAUUCCUUACUACGCUCAAGACUGCUGCACAACCAGUGAAACUGCCAAUCAAGUGUAUCACCCCUAGUCUGACAUAAAACACUAAGCAGAUUAAGCUGUUCUUGAUUAUUAUUAAUAAUUUUUAGAGAAUUGUUUUCACUUUGAAUUAAACAUUAAUUUUGAGUCACAGUUAAUCAGUGCCAGAAAAUCCUAUGUAUGUCCACUGUGGUUCAGUGUUGUAAAACAACAAUCCAUUAAGUCCAAGGGAGGUCAGUACUUGUGACAUUAGACAUUGUACAGUAAGUAGUACAGUGCAGAGCCAAACCCACAGGAAUCAUAUUCUUCAUAUUUGUCAUAACCCAGAAAAAACCCUAAAAGCCACUUCUUCAAUCUGAAAAUCUCCUUCAGUUACUGACUUUGUUAUUCUGCAUUUUGGUUUUUCUUACUUGCCUUCCUUGUCUUCAUUUAAGUACAGGUGGAAUUGUGUCGAUGUUUAUAUCUUUUUUUCCCUUUACAAAUCAAUGUGUCUCCUGAAGUUUGACUCAUUCAUCAUAGCACUAAAUACAAAUUGCAGCCGAUGGGAAUGACAUUACUUUUGCAGGUAUUUGGUUGUAAACAAAAGUAUUGGACAAACUAAAUUGUUGACUUGAUGGUGGCACUCGACGAUCGGCUGGGCAUUAUGGAUAUCUGUACAAAAUUUUGUGCCAAUCCAUCUAGUAGCUGAGAUAUUUCACUGGAUAAGUGAAAAGUUUGACCUGUUGGUGGCGCUACUAGAAAAGUCAGGGGAUCACUAAAGUCAUUAGGAUUCAUCCUAUGGGCACCAUGAACCAUGAAUUUCAUGGCAAUCCAUCCAGUAGUUACUAGGUCUGGACCAAAGUGGUGAACAAACUGACAGACCAGCAUUAGAGCCAUGUCGUUAGCAUGUGAUAGUUUACUCUCCAGGUAAAUACGUGGGAAAUAAAUGCAGCUGCAGAGUCUUUUUGAACUUGACAAGAAUAGAAUUCUGUACAAAAACACCGAAUCCUCAUUUUUUUAAAACAUGAAAAUGGUCAUAUUAAAAGUUACUGAAUAUCAGUUAUCAGUGAAAGUUGGCAUUUUGCCCUCAGGCCAGGGGGAGUGAAGGUCACACAGGUUUACUUGCACAGCAACAAAGAUUUGUGCUCAGCUGACUGAGUACAAGUGUGUGAACAAGGGAGCCGGUAGUUUUCCACUCGCCUGUCCACCAGGGCUGGAUUUAGCCAGUCUGGCCUGAGGCUGCAGUAAAAAGAUUGUAGAGGGACAUUUUGUUACAGUCAACACACACAAUUGUUUUAUCCUUGUAGUUUUAGGUGUGUGCACAUUUGUUGUGUUUAACUGUCUUCCCUUCUUAAAUUUGUGCGCCACGGCUUAGGAGACUGGCACAGCCCACCCCACAGAUUUGUUGUGAGCAGUUUCAUAUAUAUUUAUUAUGCCCAUAAAAAUUCUAAAAGUAAGAGUAAGUAAACUUAGCAAUUAUCUCAUGGCACUUUUCAGAUAGAGCAGGUCUAGAUGGUACUCUUUAUAAUAUUAUUUACAGAGACCCAACAAUUCCCACCUUUAAGAGGCUUUAAUCAGAUCCAGACUCAGGGUCUGCUGCUGCCAGUUGGGUGGAGAGAGAGAGAGAGAGAGAGAGAGAGAGAGAGAGAGAGAGAGAGAGAGAGAGAGAGAGAGAGAGAGAGAGAGAGAGA
Siniperca chuatsi (mandarin fish) is the source of this 2709-nucleotide long non-coding RNA. RefSeq lists it as uncharacterized. The transcript has 3 exons. The record is from RefSeq and is a predicted model, not a curated record. NCBI's taxonomy places the organism in Eukaryota, Metazoa, Chordata, Actinopteri, Centrarchiformes, Sinipercidae.